Molecule: ribosomal RNA, 439 nt
Filed under: uncultured bacterium
Lineage: Bacteria
Description: bacterial SSU rRNA
Rfam family: Bacterial small subunit ribosomal RNA
Source: RNAcentral
ACGCGAGGAACCUUACCAGGUCUUGACAUCCUCUGACACUCCUAGAGAUAGGACGUUCCCCUUCGGGGGACAGAGUGACAGGUGGUGCAUGGUUGUCGUCAGCUCGUGUCGUGAGAUGUUGGGUUAAGUCCCGCAACGAGCGCAACCCUUGUUCUUAGUUGCCAUCAUUUAGUUGGGCACUCUAAGGAGACUGCCGGUGACAAACCGGAGGAAGGUGGGGAUGACGUCAAAUCAUCAUGCCCCUUAUGACCUGGGCUACACACGUGCUACAAUGGACGGUACAAACGGUUGCCAACCCGCGAGGGGGAGCUAAUCCGAUAAAACCGUUCUCAGUUCGGAUUGUAGGCUGCAACUCGCCUACAUGAAGCUGGAAUCGCUAGUAAUCGCGGAUCAGCAUGCCGCGGUGAAUACGUUCCCGGGCCUUGCACACACCGCCCGU